UACAGAGGUCCCAAGCGUUGUUCGGAUUCACUGGGCGUAAAGGGUGCGUAGGUGGCGGGGUAAGUUUGAUGUGAAAUCUCCGGGCUUAACCCGGAAACUGCAUUGUAUACUAUUCUGCUCGAGGUUUGGAGGGGGGACUGGAAUUCUCGGUGUAGCAGUGAAAUGCGUAGAUAUCGAGAGGAACACCAGUGGCGAAGGCGAGUCCCUGGACAACACCUGACACUGAGGCACGAAAGCUAGGGGAGCAAACAGG
This 253-nucleotide ribosomal RNA is filed under the name uncultured bacterium. RNAcentral's name for it is "partial 16S ribosomal RNA". It matches the Rfam family "Bacterial small subunit ribosomal RNA", at positions 524 to 776 of the family's 1533-position model. The record is from RNAcentral.